AUUGAACGCUGGCGGCAGGCCUAACACGUGCAAGUCGAACGGCAGCGGGAAGUAGCUUGCUACUUUGCCGGCGAGUGGCGGACGGGUGAGUAAUGUCUGGGAAACUGCCUGAUGGAGGGGGAUAACUACUGGAAACGGUGGCUAAUACCGCAUGACGUCGCAAGACCAAAGAGGGGGACCUUCGGGCCUCUUGCCAUCGGAUGUGCCCAGAUGGGAUUAGCUAGUAGGCGGGGUAAUGGACCACCUAGGCGACGAUCCCUAGCUGGUCUGAGGGGAUGACCAGCCACACUGGGACUGAGACACGGCCCAGACUCCUACGGGAGGCAGCAGUGGGGAGUAUUGCACAAUGGGCGCAAGCCUGAUGCAGCCAUGCCGCGUGUGUGAAGAAGGCCUUCGGGUUGUAAAGCACUUUCAGCGAGGAGGAAGGGGUUGAACUUAAUACGUUCAAUCAUUGACGUUACUCGCAGAAGAAGCACCGGCUAACUCCGUGCCAGCCGCCGCCGUAA
Molecule: ribosomal RNA, 506 nt
Filed under: uncultured bacterium
Lineage: Bacteria
Description: partial 16S ribosomal RNA
Rfam family: Bacterial small subunit ribosomal RNA
Source: RNAcentral